Molecule: small nuclear RNA, 114 nt
Organism: Xyrauchen texanus (razorback sucker)
Lineage: Eukaryota; Metazoa; Chordata; Actinopteri; Cypriniformes; Catostomidae
Product: U5 spliceosomal RNA
Exons: 1
Source: RefSeq, a predicted model, not a curated record
CAGCUCCAGUUUCUCUUCAUUAUGUAUAAAUCUUUCGCCUUUUACAAUAGAUUUCCAUGGAGGGGAGCCUUUGCGAGUUUUCUGUAAAUUUUGGGCCUCUGCUGCAAGUAGAGC